GUCCACGCCCUAAACGAUGUCUACUAGUUGUCGGGUCUUAAUUGACUUGGUAACGCAGCUAACGCGUGAAGUAGACCGCCUGGGGAGUACGGUCGCAAGAUUAAAACUCAAAGGAAUUGACGGGGACCCGCACAAGCGGUGGAUGAUGUGGAUUAAUUCGAUGCAACGCGAAAACCUUACCUACCCUUGACAUGGAAGGAAUCCCCGAGAGAUUGGGGAGUGCUCGAAAGAGAACCUUUACACAGGUGCUGCAUGGCUGUCGU
Molecule: ribosomal RNA, 263 nt
Filed under: uncultured bacterium
Lineage: Bacteria
Description: partial 16S ribosomal RNA
Rfam family: Bacterial small subunit ribosomal RNA
Source: RNAcentral